GAGCCCGGAGAUGGACCCUGAGACACGGGUCCAGGCCCUACGGGGCGCAGCAGGCGCGAAACCUCCGCAAUGCGGGAAACCGCGACGGGGUCAGCCGGAGUGCUCGCGCAUCGCGCGGGCUGUCGGGGUGCCUAAAAAGCACCCCAUAGCAAGGGCCGGGCAAGGCCGGUGGCAGCCGCCGCGGUAAUACCGGCGGCCCGAGUGGCGGCCACUUUUAUUGGGCCUAGAGCGUCCGUAGCCGGGCUGGUAAGUCCUCCGGGAAAUCUGGUCGCUUAACGAUCAGACUGCCGGAGGAUACUGCCAGCCUAGGGACCGGGAGAGGCCGGGGGUAUUCCCGGGGUAGGGGUGAAAUCCUGUAAUCCCGGGAGGACCACCUGUGGCGAAGGCGCCCGGCUGGAACGGGUCCGACGGUGAGGGACGAAGGCCAGGGGAGCGAACCGGAUUAGAUACCCGGGUAGUCCUGGCUGUAAACGAUGCGGACUAGGUGUCACCGAAGCUACGAGCUUCGGUGUUGCCGGAGGGAAGCCGUUAAGUCCGCCGCCCGGGGAGUACGGCCGCAAGGCUGAAACUUAAAGGAAUUGGCGGGGGAGCACUACAACGGGUGGAGCCUGCGGUUUAAUUGGAUUCAACGCCGGGAAGCUUACCGGGGGAGACAGCGGGAUGAAGGUCGGGCUGAAGACCUUACCAGACUAGCUGAGAGGUGGUGCAUGGCCGCCGUCAGUUCGUACUGUGAAGCAUCCUGUUAAGUCAGGCAACGAGCGAGACCCGCGCCCCCAGUUGCCAGCGGUUCGCUUCGCGAAGCCGGGCACACUGGGGGGACUGCCGGCGCUAAGCCGGAGGAAGGUGCGGGCAACGGCAGGUCCGUAUGCCCCGAAUCCCCCGGGCUACACGCGGGCUACAAUGGCCGGGACAAUGGGUACCGACCCCGAAAGGGGUAGGUAAUCCCCUAAACCCGGUCUAACCUGGGAUCGAGGGCUGCAACUCGCCCUCGUGAACCUGGAAUCCGUAGUAAUCGCGCCUCAAAAUGGCGCGGUGAAUACGUCCCUGCUCCUUGCACACACCGCCCGUCAAGCCACCCGAGUGGGCCAGGGGCGAGGGGGAGGUCGUAGGCCACCUUCGAGCCCAG
Molecule: ribosomal RNA, 1126 nt
Filed under: uncultured archaeon
Lineage: Archaea
Description: bacterial SSU rRNA
Rfam family: Archaeal small subunit ribosomal RNA
Source: RNAcentral